This 178-nucleotide ribosomal RNA is filed under the name uncultured bacterium. Its description in RNAcentral is "partial 16S ribosomal RNA". It matches the Rfam family "Bacterial small subunit ribosomal RNA", at positions 1321 to 1500 of the family's 1533-position model. The record is from RNAcentral.
UGAAGUCGGAAUUGCUGUAAUCGCGGAUCAGCAUGCCGCGGUGAAUACGUUCCCGGGCCUUGUACACACCGCCCGUCACACCAUGGGAGCCGGUAAUACCCGAAGUCAGUAGUCCAACCUCGUGAGGACGCUGCCGAAGGUAGGAUUGGCGACUGGGGUGAAGUCGUAACAAGGUAUC